CAGCAGCCACGGUAAAACGUAGGUGGCAAGCGUUGUCCGGAAUUAUUGGGCGUAAAGGGCUCGCAGGCGGUUUCUUAAGUCUGAUGUGAAAGCCCCCGGCUCAACCGGGGAGGGUCAUUGGAAACUGGGAAACUUGAGUGCAGAAGAGGAGAGUGGAAUUCCACGUGUAGCGGUGAAAUGCGUAGAGAUGUGGAGGAACACCAGUGGCGAAGGCGACUCUCUGGUCUGUAACUGACGCUGAGGAGCGAAAGCGUGGGGAGCGAACAGGAUUAGAUACCCGUGUAGUCCCUGUCUCUUAUAC
This 301-nucleotide ribosomal RNA is filed under the name uncultured bacterium. RNAcentral's name for it is "partial 16S ribosomal RNA". It matches the Rfam family "Bacterial small subunit ribosomal RNA", at positions 509 to 807 of the family's 1533-position model. The record is from RNAcentral.